RNAcentral lists this ribosomal RNA (1102 nucleotides) under uncultured Bdellovibrio sp. RNAcentral describes it as "bacterial SSU rRNA". It matches the Rfam family "Bacterial small subunit ribosomal RNA", at positions 300 to 1420 of the family's 1533-position model. The record is from RNAcentral. Lineage: Bacteria; Pseudomonadati; Bdellovibrionota; Bdellovibrionia; Bdellovibrionales; Pseudobdellovibrionaceae.
AUGACCUGUCACACUGGAACUGAGACACGGUCCAGACUCCUACGGGAGGCAGCAGUAGGGAAUAUUGCGCAAUGGGGGAAACCCUGACGCAGCGACGCCGCGUGAGUGAUGAAGGCCUUCGGGUCGUAAAGCUCUGUUGUACGGGAAGAAAAAAAUGACGGUACCGUAUAAGAAAGGAUCGGCUAACUUCGUGCCAGCAGCCGCGGUAAGACGAGGGAUCCUAGCGUUGUUCGGAAUCAUUGGGCGUAAAGAGUAUGUAGGCGGCCUUGUAAGUCAUUUGUGAAAUCCCCGGGCUCAACCCGGGAAGUGCAAGUGAUACUGCUUGGCUUGAAUAUGGGAGAGGGUAGUGGAAUUCCUGGUGUAGUGGUGAAAUACGUAGAUAUCAGGAGGAACACCGGUGGCGAAGGCGGCUACCUGGCCCUAUAUUGACGCUGAGAUACGAAAGCAUGGGGAUCAAACAGGAUUAGAUACCCUGGUAGUCCAUGCCGUAAACGAUGGACACUUGGUGUUGGAGGUAUUGACCCCUUCAGUGCCGCAGCUAACGCGAUAAGUGUCCCGCCUGGGGAGUACGGUCGCAAGAUUAAAACUCAAAGAAAUUGACGGGGGCCCGCACAAGCGGUGGAGCAUGUGGUUUAAUUCGAUGCAACGCGAAAAACCUUACCUGGGCUCGAAAUGUACAGGAAUAUAGUAGAGAUAUUAUAGCCUUCGGGUCUGUAUAUAGGUGCUGCAUGGCUGUCGUCAGCUCGUGUCGUGAGAUGUUGGGUUAAGUCCCGCAACGAGCGCAACCCUUGCCUUUAGUUGCCAGCAUUUAGUUGGGCACUCUAAAGGGACUGCCGGUGUUAAACCGGAGGAAGGUGGGGAUGACGUCAAGUCCUCAUGGCCCUUAUGUCCAGGGCUACACACGUGCUACAAUGGCAGAUACAGAGGGUUGCUAAUCCGUAAGGUAGAGCUAAUCCCUUAAAGUCUGUCUAAGUUCAGAUUGAGGUCUGCAACUCGACCUCAUGAAGGUGGAAUCGCUAGUAAUCGCGGAUCAGCAUGCCGCGGUGAAUACGUUCCCGGGCCUUGUACACACCGCCCGUCACACCAUGAACAAGGUAACCGU